AUGUCCUGCAAGGAGCUCCCAAACAUGGAGGGAUUGAAGACGGCGUUCUUGGCGUGGCGGAUCUCCUCGAUGUUGGGCUUCUUCAGGCCCUGAGGGAGGCAGAGAGGUGGUCCUGAGGUCACUGUCUUCAUGUUGGGGCACUCUGAUGGGAAAUGUGGGAUGGCGGGGGGAAGGUCCUGCUCAUCAUGAUGGGAUGCAGAAGAGAAGAUGGAUGUACAGGAUGUCAACGCGGUGCGAUGGAGAGGAUAUGAGCGUGCGCUGCAGACGUGGAGCAAUGGGAAGGGACGGCCCCACUUUGGAGACAGAAAACUCUGGGACAGAACGUUCAGUUUCCAUACAGCUCUGAAAAUCUGGAUCCAUCUGUUUCUACCCCCACCUUUGAUCCCCAUCGAUUGGAAGAGUGCUGGCAGCGCGUGGGGAUGCACAUCAGGGCCCCAAACCUUCCCUGAUCCAGGAGGAAAAUCGAUGGGAUCCUUCCAAACCCCCAUGGCCAGGUAGGGGGGCAGGGUAGAAGGAAAGGUGACAACCAACUCCGGGAACUCCAGCACCCGACCCGGUGCUUCAGUGGGCGCUAAUUAAUGAGCUGUUAUUAACGAGGGACCGAAUGGAUGCUGUGCAGCGGCCCCAGCUCUCGGGCCUGGGGACUGAACUGAGGGUCAGCGCAGAUGAGGCUGGGGGGAAGCGCUGUGCUGCCUCCUCUGGGCAAAACCCAUUCAUUUCUUUCAGGUUUGUAAUGUUCAGCUAUUAUUUUGUUUGAUUUUCUUCAUUUUACACACCGUUCAUUAUUUUAGAUGUCAUUUAUAACCCUUUAUAGCAUUGCUUAUUCUAGGGAUCACCUGUUUAUUACCUUACGGAUCGUUCAUCGUUGUGUGCACCUUUCGUUAUUUUAGAGGCCAUUGAUUGUGGCGGAUGUCAUUAAUUACUGCCUGGGUUAUUCAUUAGUUGAUUUUUUUUGCAAUAUUUUAAAACGAUUUUUAA
Long non-coding RNA from Tympanuchus pallidicinctus (lesser prairie-chicken), 978 nucleotides. RefSeq lists it as uncharacterized. The record is from RefSeq and is a predicted model, not a curated record. NCBI's taxonomy places the organism in Eukaryota, Metazoa, Chordata, Aves, Galliformes, Phasianidae. The transcript is spliced from 2 exons.